Molecule: long non-coding RNA, 388 nt
Organism: Leguminivora glycinivorella
Lineage: Eukaryota; Metazoa; Arthropoda; Insecta; Lepidoptera; Tortricidae
Exons: 2
Source: RefSeq, a predicted model, not a curated record
GAGUGCCUAUUCUGUCAGUGCAUAGGCGGAACCAAUAUCUGCGACGCGAAACCCAACUGUGUGCCAUCCAAGAAGCAUGAUCCUAUCGACAUAAAGUCAGGGAAAAAAUGUACCAUUGGGAUGGUAUACAAGCAAUCGUGCAACAAAUGUUUCUGCACGGAAACCCGCAGCCUCCAGUGCACGUUGAAGAGUUGUCUCAGCAAAGCGCAAUCCAGCCAUACUCACAGGAUUAGGAAGCACUGGGUGGAUUACACGUUGAGAAAUAAAGGGAAGAAAGUUUAAUCAAAGAGGAUCGAAUAUACAUGGUGUCCCAUAAACCAACGCGAUAUUGUCACUUUUUUAACUUUUGUUCUUUACGUUUUAUAAAUUAAACGGCCAAUAUCUCAAA